RNAcentral lists this long non-coding RNA (19807 nucleotides) under Citrus sinensis (sweet orange). Its description in RNAcentral is "long non-coding RNA (CSIN_LNC004876)". The stretch from base 10223 to 10291 matches the Rfam family "tRNA". The record is from RNAcentral. Lineage: Eukaryota; Viridiplantae; Streptophyta; Magnoliopsida; Sapindales; Rutaceae.
AGAACAUAAUCUAGAACACUAAGAUGAUCUUGUAUAGAUCCGGAUGCCGACGGCCAAGCCCAGGAUUGCUAGCGGCACGAGGAAUUGGAGAAGCCUGAUGAUGAACUCUGAUGUCUUGUCCUGGUUGUAGUGAGGCUGCUUUGGAGGUGUACACACCUUCUUCUUUGGGAUGGUCGAUACAUCAAUCUCUCCGACUUAGUACUGGUCCAUCAUUUCUCUGGCACUCGGACUAUGACCCACAUCUUCAAAGUCAUCAGUGGCAUCUUUCCCUAAGAAAACAUUCAGAAAACCCCAAUUAUCUCACUUACAGGCAUACUAAUUAUACAAUGAAAAUAUAACUAGAGGUCGAGUUGCUUGAAGCAGGUUUUAGCAAAGGAUAUACCUGUUACGGACAGAAAAACUUCAUCACCUCCAGGAUGAUCUUCCAAGAAUUUUGUCACUUCAUACACCUAUUCAAAAUAUUAGAUCCGCUUAUAGAUGAACUUAAAAGAAUUAGAUAUAUAAACACUAUGCUAGAAACGCCAUCCAAGCUUAUAGACAGCAAGACCUGAAACUCUAGACCUCUCAGUUUAUCACGAUAAAAAUACAAGGAGAGAGGAUGGUGCAUUCACGCAUGUUACAUACUUGCACCAGAAAUAUUACCAUACAAAUCUAAACUGGAAGCCAAGAACUAGAAAUUGCAUAACAACAAAUGCCAAACGAUAUUAGUCUUCACAAAGAGGGUUAUUUUAGCAUCGCGAGAAAUCGCGAAACAUCCAACAUCGGACACUUCCAGUGAGAAAUCUAGAAACAUAAAAUAAGUACAUUGGAUAUAUGAUAAUUCACUACACUUGGCAUCAGAAAUUAUCUUUUGCUUUCUCUCUCUCAUUUUUUUUUCCCCUUUAUUUUAGCUUUCCAAGAAGCAUUGUAAUUCUUUGAAAAUAACCCACUUUUUGGAACGGAUAGCAACUAAACCAUUAGCACACAACAAUCUAUAUUUUGUGUUACCCAAAUUACUUGGUAUAUCAGUAUGAACAUUCUUGCUUUUAACAAUUUGAAACAUGAAUGAAAUUAUUACGAAAGAAAGCAAGGAAAAUGAAAGUCUUGCGCUGCUGUGCUGUGUUUUUGCAUUCGAUAAUUUCCUAAAAUAGUAAAUCCAACAAUAGUUUCAUAUCAAGAUAUUAACGGCUAGUUUGUAAACGAUUUGCCUCAGCUUAAUGCAUAGUAGGUAAAGUUCUCAGUUAACAAAUGUGGAUCCCGAAUUUGUACUCUUGACAUUUAUUUAAACUCCAUCAUUAAACGAUAAAUUUCAUGACAGUUUGUCUAAACUCUUUUUGUUCUUUGUACUCUGCCUCCAUAAUCGACUUCAAUUCAGAAAUAAAACAAUCAAUCUUAUUCAUCCAUUGAAUGAUAUAAUCAUAAUGAAACGUUGUCAUCACUUAUUAUCAUGAAACAAAAAUAUAAUGAGAAAAUGUUAAAAUCAUUUAUUAUAUUAUAUUUGGGCAAUAGAAAUGAUUAUUAAUGAGAACGCAACCUCUGAAUCUUCUAAGUCAUCAGAAUUGUGUGAGUGAUUGUGAUGGUCAACUGCAGCAUGCUCAUCCUCGACAGAAUUUUGCUGCUCCUGUGUUGAGCUCAUGGUGUUAUGUCGCUCCUCUACUUCCUCUUGAAAGUGCUUCCACUAGAAGUUGGCCUUCCACUUUAAGAUCCGGCGAAUCUUUUUUUGUUUUCACGGUCCACUGUGAUGGCAGCCCCUCGGUCACUUUAAAAAGCCAAGCCUGCAACAAGAAAGUUAUAGGAAAAAAAAAAGUAUGAAUUAUUCUUAAGUACAAAACUUAUGAACUUAAAAUUUUUUUCCAACCCACCUAAACCCCAUGACUAAAGCCAUAGAGAUUGUAUCUCUCAAUAUUAUUAUCGGUAUUUACCAAGUGAUCAUUAUUAAAUCUCUCAGCUUUCUUGUUCAAUGUAUUGUCAAUAUCAUCAUAUAUUAUUUCUCAUGAUACACGACCUCAUGGACAACUUUGAAAGUGAUUUAUAUUUCAACAUAAUUCAUCAGUUGGAAAUGAACUUGACAGUGAUAUGAUCUUUUCUUCCAUUCAAUACCUUAUCAGCAAAGUAAUAAAGCAUGAUUUUUAGAGCAUCCACGGCAUGAAAGUUCAAAUUGACAAAUCUAGUGUCCAAUUGUUAAAGAUUCAAAUUUUCAAACCUAACAUGAAAGUACUUAUCAAGUAACUUAUGAUGCAUCUCCAUAUUUUUUAAUAAGACAUUUGAACCAUAAAAAUGUCUCGUAAUUACACAACACUCGCCAAUAGAUAAACUACUAAUAAUAAAGAAAAAGCAUAGCAUAAUAAAACAUAAAGCAAUAAGCUUAAUUAAAUAAUAAAAAUUAGACCAUCCACAUCAAAUCAACCAUCAUGCUAAUAAUGUAUAAUAAAUAAAACAAAUUAGACUAAAACAAGGUACUAAAUAAUAUGUUAUUGGUUAUAUUAAGUUUUUUCUUUUUUUUCCUUCAUAUAUUUAUAGGAUGCUUCCUAUAUUUAUAGGAUGCAAAUGGGAAGAGGGGUGGGAUUUACAAAAUCAAGCGACAAGUCAAUAGUUUACAGUAGAAACUGUAGAAUCAUUAAACAAAUUAGAGAUUUGCCAUCUCAAAAACAGAGAACAUUUUAUUGCCCAAUUAAUUAAUUAAACAAGACAACAAGAAGGCAAAAAAACAUGUCUAAAAGGAUGAGCAAAUCCACUUUAUUUGGAAUUUUGCGAUCACAACAGAGCAGAGAAAAAAAACUCACAGAUCCAAGAGUUCAGAAACAGUACAAUUUGUCAUACGAGUACAUCCGAUCUAGCACUGUAAGUCUGUAACAACAAACAAUACAAAAAAAAAAAUUGGAAAAAUAUAAACCAAAAAAUAACUCAUCGAUCACAAACUUAAUGCAAUAAAAUAAAAUAUUUAACCCAAAAAAAAAUCAGGCAACGAACAUUGAAUUUAUAUAUUUAAAAAUUACCAAAAAAAAACAGUCACAUACACACAACACAGCAGUAGGACAUAGCUUAUACUUAGCAAUCAAAUUCAAUGCAACCAAAGAAAUAGAGUACGCUUUGUUGUGAGCCUGAAUUAACUUUUCAAGUGAAGUUCGGUCUUUACCUGCCAACGAUGAGUCGUUUCGUAUAUAUUCUUUAUUUUUUUCCUACUUUUGAAGUUAAAGGGUGAGUGAAAAUGGGAAGUUACCAUCUGAGAAUGUAAAAUCCAUUUUGCGGCGUGAGGUUAGUUUUAGGGUUAAAGAAGAUUAGAUUAUUUAUACGGAAAAGCUAUUUCUCUCGAUUUUAACUCCGACUCACACUCCGAAUUAAAUGUACCGUUUUGAGAAUAAUUAAAAGCGCACCGUUUCGACGCAUUUUUCCUUUCGUUUUGACGAACCGCCGAAACAAAAACGCACUUUCAAUGUACAAGCUUCAUAAAGCUAUUGGACAGAAAAUCCACAGAUUGAAUGGUUGUGAGUACUUUAAUGGAGAUCCUCAAAAGUUGAACGUUCCAACUGUUGAAAAAAUAGCACAUCAAUAUGAUAUUUGAGGGCACAUUUUGAGUUGGUCCCUGUUACGAGUCUGCAGCACUUUAUUUAUAUUCUAUUGAGUCAGUCAAAGUAGUUGGCCACUACUCCGAAUAAUGUGCACAAGUCUGAUUUAUUUGCCAUUUUUUAGCUAUUGUUGCUAUUUUUUAGUUAUCAGUUGCGCUUUCAUUGUUAAGAUACAGAGUCUUGCAGUGUAUAAAUUCAAAAGAGUUUAUUCAAUAAAGGCAUCGAGAAAAUUCACAAACUUAAUUAUAUUAUCAAUUGUUCUAUCAUUAUUUCCCACUGUUACUCUUGUUACAACAACAUAGCUCGAGGAAGGGGCAGAGGAAGGGGCCGAGGUCAAGCCAUUGGAGCAGAUCGUGACAAUUUGGUAUCAGAGCCACCAAUGGCAGAGGAUCAGCGCCUUCAACGACUUGAGAAUCAGGUAGAGAACCUUAGUUCUGGGCAAGAACGACUUCUGAAACAGAUGGAGGAGAUGAUGACAGCAAUGAACUCCCGAUUAAACAUGCCGGAUGAAGGGUCCGUCAAUAGGAAUCGGGGACCACCGGGACAGGGUGGUUUCGGUGAAGUGGGUGGUUGGAUGGCUCCAAAGCUUACCAAGUUGGAUUUUCCACGUUAUGAUGGCUCUGAAGAUCCAACACUAUGGAUUUGCAGGGCGGAGCAAUUCUUCGAUUUUCAAGCAACAGCUCCUAAUGAUCAGGUUCGAUUAGCAGCAUAUCACUUGGAAAGGGAUGCACAAUUAUGGUUCCAACGUCGUAAGAAUCAAGGGCAUCUUGUGACAUGGGAGGGCAUAAAGGCAGGCUUGUUAGAGCGAUUUGGCUCCACUGAAUAUGAAGAUCCAUUCGGUGAGUUGUGCAAGCUUAAACAGACAGGAACGGUGUCAGAGUAUCAAACUCGAUUUGAAAGGUUACUAGCACGAGCAGGUCACUUAACAGACAAACAAGAAGCUGAGUGUUUUAUCAGUGGGCUAAAAGAUGGGUUACGAACUGAUGUGCGAGUACAAAAUCCUCCAAAUUUAAGUGCAGCGAUUGGGUUGGCCCGAACUUAUGAAUUUAAGACCCAAAGACUUACGAAUACACCAAUCUCUUCCUUUGGACGGAAUUCUAACACACAAUUAGGCACAACAAAUUUCUCCAGAAACUCUACUGAUGUCCGCACACUACCAAUUCGCAGGUUCGCCCCAACAGAACUCCAACGUCGGCGGGAACAAGGGUUGUGCUAUAAUUGUGACGAGAAGUAUACCUUUGGGCACAAAUGUAAAAAAUUGUUUUUGAUUGAGGCGGAAGAGGGGGACGAGCUAGAAGAACAUAAAGAGGAGAAAGACGAUACACAAGAGACUCCCGCUAUUUCCUUGCAUGCUCUAGCUGGGGUCCAAUCUCCACAAACAAUGCGACUUCAGUCAAGUAUUGGUAAAGCCUCUUUGACUAUUUUAAUUGAUUCUGGUUCAACCCACAAUUUUCUCCAUCACAAAUUUGUAAAAAUUGCGGGACUUAAGCCAGAGCCAGGGUGUCUGCUCAGUGUGGUAGUUGCAAAUGGGGAGAAAUUGACUAGUCCAGGUCGUUGUAAGGGAGUACAGUUGCAAUUGCAGGGGACUCAGAUUGAAGCAGAUUUUUACCUCCUUUCUCUAGAAGGAUGUGAUGCGGUGUUAGGGGCACAAUGGUUAUGCACCCUUGGACCGAUCCUUUGGGACUUUGACAAAAUGGAAAUGCAGUUUACUAAAGAUGGGCGUCAGAUGACAUUACGGGGUGCUACUACUUCCGAACUUAAAGCUAUUGAGGGAGACACAAUUCAGAAAACAUUGAGGAAAAACCAAGGCCGUGGGAUCAUUUUACAACUUUGCUCAAUUUCAGUGGAUAAAGAACCAACAGCAACCAGUGAGGUAACACAAAAUGAUGAUUUCAGAUUCUUACUUACUGAAUUUCGUGAUGUUUUUGAAACUCCAAUAGGGCUACCGCCCUCGCGUUCCCAAGAUCAUCAAAUUCCUCUUCAACCAGGAACUGGGCCGAUAUGUGUUCGUCCUUAUCGAUAUCCACAUUUCCAAAAACAAGAGAUUGAGCGAUUGGUGGAAGAAAUGUUGCCCCAAGGGAUAAUCCGUCCCAGCCAGAGUCCAUUUUCAUCACCAGUAUUAUUAGUACGAAAACAUGAUGGGAGUUGGAGGUUUUGUGUGGAUUAUAGAGCACUUAAUCGACAAACUGUGAAAGAUAAAUUUCCAAUUCCGGUGAUCGAUGAACUAUUAGACGAAUUGCAUGGUGCCAGGUUCUUUACAAAGCUUGACCUCAAGUCAGGCUAUUUUCAGAUUCGCAUGAACCCAAAUGACGUGCAUAAGACGGCCUUUCGAACUCAUCAUGGACAUUUCGAAUUCCUGGUAAUGCCCUUUGGGCUCUCCAAUGCACCUUCUACAUUUCAGUCCCUCAUGAAUGAUAUCUUUAAAGCUCAUUUACGUAAAUUCAUCCUAGUUUUUUUUUAUGACAUUUUGAUUUAUAGUAAAUCAUGGUCUGACCAUCAAAAACAUGUUCAAAUUACUUUCUCGAUCUUGCGAGCUCAUCAUUUAGUUGUUAAAAGGGAGAAGUGCCAAUUCGGGGAAACCCAAGUUAAAUACUUGGGUCAUAUUAUUUGUAAUGAAGGUGUAAAGGUUGACCCUGACAAAAUUAAAGCAAUGGAAGGCUGGCCAAAACCAUCUACUGUCAAGGCAUUAAGAGGUUUCCUGGGACUCACAGGUUACUACAGAAAAUUUAUUGCAGGUUAUGGCAACAUAGCCGCUCCCUUGACGUCUAUGCUGAAAAAGAAUUCUUUUUUUUGGAAUUCAGAAGCAGACAUGGCCUUUGAGUUGUUGAAACAAUCCAUGACUCAUGCUCCAGUACUAGUUUUGCCAAAUUUCACCCUUUUAUUCAUUAUUGAAUGUGAUGCAUCUGGGAGUGGUUUAGGUGCUGUUUUAAUGCAAGAACAGAAACCAAUUGCAUAUUUUAGCACUGCUUUGAAAGGAAAAAAUCUAUUACUCUCUACCUACGAAAAGGAGCUGAUGGCACUGGUUUUAGCAGUAAAGAAAUGGAGACCGUACUUGUUGGGACGCCAUUUUGUAGUCCGAACCGAUCAACGGAGUCUAAAAUACUUGUGGGAGCAGAGAAUAAUGACAGAACCUCAACAGAAGUGGCUACUCAAACUGAUGGGAUAUGAUUUUUCCAUCGAAUACAAGAAGGGAAAGAGUAAUGCAGCAGCAGAUGCAUUAUCUAGAAGGGACGUGCAAGGCGAAAUCAAUUCUAUCUCCUGCCCUUUACCACAAUGGUUAGAGGCAGUUCGAGAGGAAAAUCAGUCGCAUCCCGAGUUACAACAAAUACAUGAGAAUCUACAGCAAGGCGAGGCAGUGGGACCUUGGGAGAGUCGAGAUGGCAUUUUAUUCUUCAAAGAACGGAUCUACUUACCUGAAAACUCACCAUUAAUUCCAGCAAUCAUCCAAGAGAUCCAUGAUAGCAGUCAUGAGGGGUUUUACAAAUCCUUCCACAGAAUCAGAGAAGUUUUUUUUGUGAAGCACAUGAAGGAGACGCUUAAGAAUUAUAUUAAACAGUGUGAUGUGUGUCAACGUCACAAGGUUGAUCAUCAAUCACCCUCGGGCCUUCUUCAGCCUUUACCUAUUCCAAUGGAGGUAUGGUCUGAUAUCUCGAUGGAUUUCAUUGAUGGAUUACCCCCAUCUAAAGGAAAAUCAUUUCUCUUUGUGGUAGUGGAUCGGUUGUCUAAAUAUGCUCAUUUUAUUCCAAUGUCUCAUCCUUAUUCUGCUCCUAAGGUGGCACAAGUGUUUUUUGAGAAUGUGUUUAAGCUUCAUGGCAUGCCGAGAUCAAUUGUGUGUGAUCGGGAUUCCACUUUUUUGAGUUCUUUUUAGAAGGAGCUUUUCAAUUUACAGGGCACUCAUUUCAAUUUCAGCUCGUCUUAUCAUCCGCAAACGGAUGGGCAAACUGAGGCAGUAAACCGAACUAUUGAAAUGUAUUUGCGAUGCUUUACAAGUGCCAAGCCAAACGAGUGGGUUCACUGGAUUUCCUGGGCAGAAUUCUGUUAUAACACUAGUCCUCACACUUCCACUCGAAAGACUCCCUUUGAAGUGUUGUAUGGGGGAGCUGCACCUAACUUGUUAACUUAUGUUCCUGGAACAGCUAGAGUAGAAGCCGUAGACCAGACGUUGCAAGCUAGAGAUCGGGUCAUGCGAGAGCUAAGGACUCAACUCCAACAAGCACAAGAAAGAAUGAAAGCUGCAUAUGAUCGUGGAAGAGUGGAAAGAGAAUUUUCUGUGGGGGAUUGGGUGUAUUUACGUUUGCAGCCCUACCGACAGACCUCUUUGGCACUGAGAUCGUCAAACAAACUCUCACCCCGCUUUUAUGGUCCUUAUCGAGUGUUGGAGAGAAUUGGAUUAGUUGCCUAUCGUCUCGAUCUUCCGCCUGGAAGUAAAAUCCAUCCUGUUUUUCAUGUCUCUCUCUUGAAGAAACAACUGGGUGCCCAAGAUCGAACUCUUUCUAGCCUUCCAUCCGUAGCAGAUGAAAAUGGAGAACUUCAGCCCCAACCUUCAGCAAUUCUGAAACACCGUAGGAAAGGACGCAAGUGUGAAAUGUUGAUUCAAUGGGAUGGUCUCCCAGCGUCAGAAGCUACCUGGGAAGAAGAACAUUCUUUUAUGGCAAGGUUCCCUCACUUUAAGAGUCCUUGAGGACAAGGACCUAUUCAAGGGGGGAGGAAUGUUACGAGUCUGCAGCACUUUAUUUAUAUUCUAUUGAGUCAGUCAAAGUAGUUGGCCACUACUCCGAAUAAUGUGCACAAGUCUGAUUUAUUUGCCAUUUUUUAGCUAUUGUUACUAUUUUUUAGUUAUCAGUUGCGCUUUCAUUGUUAAGAUACAGAGUCUUGCAGUGUAUAAAUUCAAAAGAGUUUAUUCAAUAAAGGCAUCGAGAAAAUUCACAAACUUAAUUAUAUUAUCAACUGUUCUAUCAUUAUUUCCCACUGUUACUCUUGUUACAACAACAUAGCUCGAGGAAGGGGCAGAGGAAGGGGCCGAGGUCAAGCCAUUGGAGCAGAUCGUGACAGUCCCACUUACCGAAAGUGAGAAAUCUUGUAAGGUUCGGAUUCUACUACGUUAAUACUUCAAAAGUGUAUUUUUAUUUUCUUAAAAUGGUGCUUGAGUGAAUGAGAAAUUGUCUCUCAAAGUUCACCCUUGAAGUUGGAAAUUUGAAAGAAAAUGAGGCUUAUCCACAUGGGAAAAAGAAGUCAAGGGAUUAGUGUUUAUAUAUAAACACUUAACCAUGCAUGAGCAAGAAUUAUAAGGAUAGAGGCCCUCUCCACACGCGCGUGCGCAGGGGGGGUGCAAAUCUAAGACUGAUUUAGUUGAACUCGUGUGCGCCCGCGCGUCCUGCGUACGCGAAUGUUAGCCCAAAAUCAUCCAAGCUUGCAUGGCACGUUUUUAAUUUCCUUUUAAAUUUUUUUGUUGUAAUAGUUUCACGUUUUUGAAUACAAAGAAUUUGUAACAGCUUCACAAUUAUUUUUGAGCUGUUAUAUAGUUCAAUUUUGAAAUCAAUUGACUGAAUUGAAUUGGCUGUUAUAACAAUUAAAUGGCAUAUAUUAAAUUCGGAAAUUCAAUACUAUGCAGCUGUUACAUCCUCACAUGUGUAUAAAAAAGGCGGCUUCUUCUUCUGUUUUCACACGCAAGAACAACCAACACACAGAGAGCACUUCAAAAUUUCUUUCUCCUUCUGACAUUCUGUUUUUGAUCGAGUUUUGAACGCUGUUGUGGUUCGCCGGAAUUAUUUGUUAAUGCUUGGCAGAUAAUUCAUACCCGUUGUAUCCUGGAAAACAGUUACCAGCAAACCUAAAGCACUACACUAGGUGGUAAAUUUGUUUUAAGGAAACUGCCCUGCAGGCCUCGGGUUUAUUUUCUGUUUCGGUUUUCUUUUCCCUUCUAUUUUUCCAGUUCUUCAUUCCUGAUUCUAGUUGUUGUUUUACGUUGUUGGUUAAAUUACCUACUGUGUUAAAUUGUUAUCUCACUGUGAUUAUUUUUCUUACAAUCUUAAAACAGAUUUAAAUCGUUGAGAUGGUAACUGAAACCAAUGAUGCAGUUUCGCAUGUCCCUGUUUCAGCUUCUGUUGAUGGACCAUUGUUGUGCAAAUUUUAUUGAACUCGCAAGCGCACGAUUCUAUUGUAGAAUAGACUAAUGGUGACGAGUGUCGAUCCCACGAGGAGGUGGAUUUUAAUUGUGUGUAGAAUUAAUUUUGUAAAUGGGUGGUUGGAUUUGUGGUGAAAGUGACUUAGAUUAUCUUAAAAUUGAAAUUGAAAGAAGAGAAAUCUAUUGAAAGAGAAAUCUAUUGAAAUGAAACACUUGGGUAUCUGGAUCCGUAUCAACAUGCACCAUGGGCCAAAUAUUCCUUAUUAAUACCAAUUAAAUCAUGAGGGGGAAAUCCACACCUCAUGAACCACACUCUAAUCAAUAUGGUGCUAAGGGCUAAUCGGGCCAAAUAAUAAUAACCUUGUACUAGAGAGCCGGUGAAACCAAUGCGGUAUCUAGACAAGAUUAUUAUUAUUUAUCGACGAGAAGUCAAAACAUCCACAAAAACUAGAGGGGAAGAGAAAAUAAAUUUACCAAAUAAAGCCCAUGACACAUGUUGAGACUUCACCUUCCACCCAAGCUUGAAAGAAAUUAGCUACUCAUAAUUGAACUAGGGGCAAAAUAAUGGAUAGGACAGAGGUCUUCUAAACCUUUGGUAUAGGUUCAAAUCCUAUUGGCUACUCAUAAUUGAACUAGGGGCAAAAAGAGAAUUUAUUAAAAUACGUAGAAAAUAGAAGAUAGAGAAGGAAUUACAGAAAAUGGAAUCCAAAAAUGGAUUCAGAGCUAUCAAAUUAGGGGGGAAGAGCCCCCUUUUUAUAGAUACAUUGAGUAAAUCAUGGCCAUCGGAUCAAAAACAUUUCGGACGCUCAGGAUUGCGCCACGUCAUCAGUCAACAGUACGUUAAUCCUUUUAUUCUCCUUCUAAGGUUUUCGAUUGUCUUGAGUUUAAAAGUGAUGUCUGUUUUACCGUUUGAUCUCUCGUUCAUUGUGAAAUGACUAUGAUACCCCUAAAAUACAUAAAAUACUUAAUUAUAAUACAACACACAUAAUUCUGCUAUGCAGGAAGCCCAGAAAAAUUCAAUGGCCAAAAUUUCAAACGUUGGCAGCAAAAGAUGUUCUUUUACUUGACCACGUUGAACCCUGCGAGGUUCUUAAUGGAGGAUGCUCCUAAACCCAAAGAGGGUGAAACGAAUGUUCAAGUUACAAGUGCAAUUGAUGCAUGGCAUCAUUCUGAUUUUUUAUGUAAAAAAUAUGUAAUGAAUGGCCUUAGUGAUUCCUUGUAUAAUGUAUACAUAGGAAAGAAAACAGCGAAGAAGUUAUGGAAUCUUUAGAUCGAAAAUAUAAAACUGAGGAUGCGGGUACCAAAAAGUUUGUUGUUGGUUGCUUCCUAGACUAUAAAAUGGUGGAUUCUAAAAUUGUAAUAAAUCAAGUACAAGAGCUUCAAAUAAUAUUAUCUGAAAUCCUUACAGAAGGGAUGAUGCUAAGUGAAACUUUUCAAGUGGCUACAAUUAUUAAAAAAUUACCUCCUGCUUGGAAAGAUUUCAAGAGCUAUUUGAAGCAUAAACGCAAGGAAAUGAAUAUUGAGGGGCUGGUUGUUAAGCUCCGAAUUGAGAAAGAUAACAGAAAUGCAGAAAGAAGAGGGACUAUUUAUAUGGCAAAGGCAAAUGUUGUUGAACAUGGACCUAAAAAUAAGAAAAAUAAAAAAUUGGGUACGAAAGGAGGAAUUUCCAAGAAGCAAACAAAGUUUCAAAGAAAAUAUUUUAAUUGUGAUAAGAUAGGUCACAAGGCUUCGGAUUGCAGGUUUCCUAAAAAGAAGCGAGAGACAAAUGUGGUGGAAAACAUCAUUCAACAUGUUUCAGACGUAAACCUCUCUGCAAUUGUUUCAGAAGUGAAUCUGGUUGGCUCUAAUCCGAGGGAAUGGUGGAUUGAUACGGGAGCAACCAGACAUGUUUGCUCGGACAGAGGGUUGUUCACUUCAUUUGAAGUAGUUAGCAAUUGAGAGAAGCUAUUCAUAGGGAAUUCUGCUACAUCAUAGAUUGAGGGUCAAGGGAAUGUGAUUCUAAAGAUGACUUCUGGAAAAGAGCUGACUCUGAACGAUGUGCUUUAUGUGCCAGAAAUUUGGAAGAACUUGGUGUCUGGAUCGCUGCUGAACAAACAUGGUUUCCGAAUAGUGUUUGAGUCAGAUAAGGUAGUUUUGUCAAAGAAUGGGAUGUAUGUGGGAAAGGGUUAUGUUAAUGAUGGGCUAUUUAAGCUCACUGUAACGACUCUGAAACCAAAAAUUAAUAAUGAAGCUAGUUCUUCUGCUUAUUUGCUUGAGUCUUCUAAUCUUUGGCAUGGUAGAUUAGGACAUGUUAAUUUUCAUUCAUUGCGUAAAUUAAUUAACAUGAAGCAUAUUCCCAAUUUCCAAAUUGAUUUGAAAUAUAAGUGUGAAACUUGUGUUGAAGCAAAACUAACUAGGUCAUCUUUCCAAACAAUUAAAAGAAACACCAAACCACUUGAUUUAAUACAUAGUGAUAUUUGUGAUUUUAAAUCCAUUCAACAAGAGGUGGUAAUAAAUAUUUUAUUACCUUUAUUGACGAUUGCACAAAAUAUUGCUAUAUAUAUUUAUUGAAAAAUAAAGAUGAAGCUUUAGAAAAGUUUAUUCUCUACAAAAAUGAAGUUGAGAAUCCACUUAAUAGAAAAAUCAAAGAAUAAAGGAGUGACCGUGGUGGUGAGUAUAUUGUUCCGUUUAAGUCACUAUGUAAACAAAGUGGAAUCAUACAUCAAGUCACGGCUCCAUAUUCACCUCAAUCUAAUGGGAUUGCAGAACGAAAGAAUCGAAUAUUAAAGGAAAUGAUGAAUGCAAUGUUGAUAAGUUCUAGGUUACCCUAGAACAUAUGGGGAGAAGCUGUUUUGUCAGCUAAUUAUUUAUUAAAUAAGAUACCCGAAAGUAAGAAGAUAAAACCAUGUAUGUGCUGUGGAAAUAUAGAGCACCUUCAUAUAAAUUCUUACGAGUGUGGGGGUGUCUUGCUAAAGUAGUGGUUCCUUCAAAUAAAAAAGUAAAAAUAAGAUAAAAAACUGUUGACUGCAUUUUCAUUAGUUAUGCACAAAACAGUAGUGCUUUAUCGAUUUCUGGUGCAUGAGUCUAAAGUUCCAGAUGUCUACAAAAAUACGAUAAUAGAAUCAAGAAAUGCAUCGUUUUUCAAACAUGUGUUUCCUUGCAAUUCUAGAGUGGAAUUGAGAGAACUACGACAAUUUCAUGAAACAACAAUUGAAAAUGAAGAAAAUGAUGAAGCACCAGAAAAAGAAGAAGAACAACAACAAGAAAUUGAGGUCAGACGUAGCAAAAGAGCUAGAAUAGAAAAGCCCUUUGAUCCAAAUUUUCUGACGUAUUUGCUAGAAAGUGAACCUCAAAGUAGGGAUGGCAAUGGGACGGGAUGGGAUGGGAUUUAUCAAUCUCAGUCCCACCCUGUAUAUGCAAAUGGGAUAAAAAACGUCUCAAUCUUGUCCCUAUAUUUUUAUUAGGAAAAAAAUAUAUCUGAAUCUUGUCCCAAAAGAGAUGGGAUCCUGCGGGAUCCCAUUCCAAUUGGAAAACGUUUCAUUCUUAAUCAGCAAUAAGACGGGAUAGAAUGGAAUUUGUCAAUCCCACUCCCGUCCCGCAUAUGUAAUUGGGAUAAAAAAAUGUCCUUCUCAUGUCCCUAAAUUUUUUAUGGGAAAAAAAUAUGUUCUAAUCCCGUCCCAAAUAGGAUGGGAUCCUGCAGGAUCUCAUCCCAUCGUGAAAAUUUGUCAUCCCUACCUCAAAGCUUCAAAGAAGUUGUAACUUCACCUGAAGGCGCUUUAUGGAAAGAAGCCAUUAACAGUGAAGUUGAAUCCAUUUUACAAAAUCAUAUCUGAGAGCUAGUAGAUCUUCCUCCAGGAUGUAAACCUUUGGGGUAUAAGUGAAUUUUCAAAAGGAAAAUGAAAGCCGAUGGAUCAAUCGAUAAGUAUAAGGCUAGGCUUGUAAUUACAGGUUAUAGGCAACGAGAAGGCCUUGAUUACUUUGAUACUUAUUCUCCUGUUACGAGAAUAAAUUUCAUUCAAAUGAUAAUAGCAAUUGCAGCUUUGCGCAAUCUCGAGAUACAUUAAAUUGAUGUAAAGACGACUUUUCUCAAUGGAGAUUUAAAUGAAGAAAUCUACAUGGAGCAACCUGAAGGUUUUAUAGCUCCAGGACAAGAAAAGAAAGUUUGUAAAUUGGUAAAGUCAUUAUAUGGCUUGAAACAAGCACCGAAACAGUGGCAUGAAAAAUUUGAUCAUACGACGAUCACAAGUGGCUUUAAGAUCAACGAGUGUGACAAAUAUGUUUAUGUCAAAGAAACAGAAAAUGGCUAUGUCAUUUUAUGUUUAUAUGUUGAUGACAUGCUCAUUGUUGGGAGUGAUGAUGGCAUGAUUAAAUCUACCAAGAAUAUGUUGAAGUCUAAGUUUGACGUGAAAGACAUGGGUCUUGCAGAUGUCAUUUUGGGAAUUAAAAUCUCAAGGGCUUCUAAUGGACUUAUUCUAACUCAAACUCAUUAUGUGGAUAAAAUUCUUGAGAAAUUUAAUAAAGAUGAUAAUACUGUGUCUAAGAUUCCAUUAGAUACGAGUAUCCAUUUAUCGAAAAACAGAGGAUAGGGCAUUUCUCAAGUAGAAUAUGCUAGAAUAAUAGGCAGUCUGAUGUACUUAACAAAUUGUACCAGACCAGAUCUACCAUAUAGAGUAAGUAAACUUAGUAGAUAUACGAGUAAUCCAGGAACUGAUCACUGGAAAGCUAUUGUAAGAGUACUUGGGUAUCUUCGAUACACUCGUAAUUAUGGACUGCACUAUGUUGAGUGUUAGAAAAUGCAUAUUUAUAAAGGAGAAAACCGUCAUUUUACAUUUCAAGUCUUACUAACAACCCUUACUUUUAUGUAUUUAACCUUCUUGUGAUUUAAUUACAUGUGUUUUAUUUUAAUUAAGUAUUUUAUGUAUUUUAGGGGCAGUAUAGCCAUUUCACAAUAAAGGAGAGAUCAGACGGCAAAACGGACAUCACUUUUGAACUCAGGACGGUCGAAAACCUUAGGAGGAGCAUAAAAGGAAAAAUGACACUAUUCACACUAGUUCUGCAGAGAUGUGUCGAGAAGAACUUGGUCUUAAAUUGGGAGAAAUGCCAUUUUAUGGUAAAACAAGGUAUUGUUCUCGGUCACAUCAUUUCGAGCAAAGGUAUUGAGGUUGACAAAGCCAAGGUGGAUCUCAUUUCUAAUCUUCCUCCACCCAAAACAGUCAGACAAGUAAGAUCUUUCCUUGAGCAUGCUGGUUUCUAUAGACGUUUCAUUAAAGAUUUUAGCAAAGUUUCUAGACCCUUAUGCAAUCUACUUGCUAAGGAUGUAUAUCUAUAAAAAGGGGGCCUUUCCCCCCUAAUUUGAUAUCUCUGAAUCCAUUUUUGGGAUCCAUUUUCUGUAAUUCCUUCUCCAUCUUGUAUUUUCUUUGUAUUUUAAUAAAUUCCCAUUUUGCCCCUAGUUCAAUUAUGAGUAGCUAAUUUCUUUCAAGCUUGGGUGGAAGGUGAAGUCUCAACAUGUGUCAUGGGCUUUAUUUGGUAAAUUUAUUUUCUCUUCCCCUCUAGUUUUUGUGGAUGUUUUGACUUCUCGUCGAUAAAUAAUAAUAAUCUUGUCUAGAUACCGCCUUGGUUUCACCGGCUCUCUAGUACAAGGUUAUUAUUAUUUGGCCCGAUUAGCCCUUAGCACCAUAUUGAUUAGAGUGUGGUUCAUGAGGUGUGGAUUUCCCCCUCAUGAUUUAAUUGGUAUUAAUAAGGAAUAUUUGGCCCAUGGUGCAUGUUGAUACGGAUCCAGAUACCCAAGUGUUUCAUUUCAAUAGAUUUCUCUUCAAUUUAUUCUUGUCAUUUCAAUUUCAAUUUUAGCAUUUUUUAAAUCACUUCCACCACAAUUCCAACCACCCAUUUACAAAAUUAAUUCUACACAAUUAAAAAUCCACCUCCUCGUGGGAUCGACACUCGUCACCAUUAGUCUAUACUACAAUAGAUUCGUGCGCUUGCGAGUACAUUAAAAUUUGCACAACACACUAUACUAGGUAUCCAGAAGUAUUAGAAGGAUUUAGUGAUGCUGACUGGAUAUCUGAUGUAAAAGAUUCAAAAUCCACUAGAGGCUAUGUGUUUAUACUAGCAGGUGCAGCUGUAUCAUGGAGAUCUUCUAAACAAAUAGUAAUUGCUAGAUCUACAAUGGAAUCUGAAUUCAUUGCAUUAGAUAAAUAUAGUGAACAAGCAUAAUGGUAACGCAAUUUUUUAGAAGGUAUACCAAAGUGGCCAAAGCCAGUGCCUACAAUUUGUAUUCAUUGCGAUAGUCAAUCAGCUAUCGGUAGGGUACAAAGCAAUAUAUAUAAUGGUAAGUCUAGACACAUACGUCGUAGACAUAAUACCAUUAGACAACUUAUUUUUACUGGAGUUAUUUCUAUUGACUAUGUGAGGUCAAAGGAUAAUACUGCGGAUCCGCUAACCAAAGGAUUAAAUAGAGAGCUAGUAAAAAAUCAUCAAGGGGAAUGGGAUUAAAACCCUUAGAAUGAUUAGUCAAUAACGAAAGAAAACCCAACCUAGUUGACUGGAGAUCACAAGAUCUAGGUUCAAUAGGACAACCUAUUUGUUAAAGAUUAAAGUUGGAUCACUGUGGGGGUCAUUCUCUUGAAAGGAUUACCUCAUUGACCAUUCCUAUGAUGAAACAGUAAUGCCCAUGGGGAAUAAGGUUGAGCUAGGCUUUUGAUGAUUCUUAUGUGUCGGAAAUUUGAACGGAGUAAUGCGGGUUACUCUUAAUUAAGAUAUCACCUAUAUGAGAGAGAAGUGGGGCCGCUUCAAAGGGAGCUGUUAGAGGUUCAGCUCUUAGAAACUCUUGCAAAACCAGGUACAUAUUCAAGGCCAAAACGAACAUAACUAUGAAAACUCAACAGUGUUAGGAGAAAUACUUAUGUGUAAUAGAUGAUCGUUUACACUAACGGCAGAAUAGUUCAAAGACAUCGCGUUUACUGAUCAGCCAGUAGAGUAAAUAUACUAUCACAAUGGAAUGUUCAAAGGAUAAGACCUACCUAUCAUGUGCUAGGUAUUGAUCCAAUAAACUCGAUCACUAAGGUCAAAAAUGGUUUUGAUGUCAAAAUUUAGUGGUUUUUCUGUUUUACCGCCAAUUUUCAAUCAUGUGGGGGAUUGUUGAAAAAAUAGCAUAUCAAUAUGCUAUUUUGAGGGCACAUUUUGAGUGGAUCCCACUUAGCGAAAGUGGAAAAUCUUGUGAGGUUCGGAUUCUAAUUCGUUAAUACUUCAAAAGUGUAUUUUUAUUUUCUCAAAAUGGUGCUUGGGUGAAUGAGAAAUUGUCUCUCAAAGUUCACCCUUGAAGUUGGAAAUUUAAAAGGAAAUGAGGCUUAUCCCACAUGGAAAAAAGAAGCCAAGGGAUUAGUGUUUAUAUAUAAACACUUAACCAUGCAUGAGCAAUAAUUAUAAGGAUAGAGGCUCUCUUCACACGCGCGUGCGCAGGGGGGGUGCAAAUCUAAGACUGAUUUAGUUCAACUCGUGUGCGCCCGCGCGUCCUGCGUACGUGAAUUUCAACCUAAAAUCAUCCAAGCUUGCAUGGCACAUUUUUAAUUUCCUUUUAAAUUUUUUUUUGUUGUAAUAGUUUCACGUUUUUUAAUUCAAAGGAUUUAUAACAGCUUCACAAUUAUUUUUGAGCUGUUAUAUAGUUCAAUUUUGAAAUUAAUUGACUGAAUUGAAUUGGUUGUUAUAACAAUUAAAUGGCAUAUAUUGAAUUCAGAAAUUCAAUACUAUGCAGCUGUUACAUCCCCACACGUGUAUAAAAAGGCAGCUUCUUCUUCUGUUUUCACACGCAAGAACAACCAGCACACAGAGAGCAUUUCAAAUUUUCUUUCUCCUUCUGACGUUCUGUUUUUUAUCGAGCUUUGAACGCUGUUGUGGUUCGUCGGAAUUAUUUGUCAAUGCUUGACAGAUAAUUCGUACCCAUUGUAUCCUGGGAAAUAGUUACCAGCAAACCUAAAGCACUACAGUUGGUGGUAAAUCUGUUUUAAGGAAACUGUCCUGCAGGCCUCGAGUUUAUUUUCUAUUUCGGUUUUCUUUUUCUUCUAUUUUUCCAGUUCUUCAUUCGUGAUUUUUAGUUGUUAUUUUAUGUUGUUGGUUAAAUUACCUACUAUGUUAAAUUGUUAUCUCACUGUGAUAAAGCAUAUGCUGGCAAUGUCAUUUUGGUUUGAAAUUAAUUGAAGUAUAUGCUCACCCACGCGCUGCCCACCUUUUUCGGCUGAAAUUAAAAGGAAAAGGAAUAAAGUAAAACGACGUCAUUUUUCACCAUUCAGGGCGCGACUCGGGGUUUGACUCGAGGUGUGUAGCAGCGCUGUUAUUUAUAUAGAACAGAGAGAUGAAGAAGAUAAUUUACAUUCGAUGCUUCUUUUUAACUUUUGAAUUUACACUAAUAUCCUUCUUAUUUGAAGUUUCGUCAUUUAAAUCCCCAUCGGCAAUCAGGCACAGGCAAAUACCAGUGAGCGAUUAUUUCAUCUUUGUUUUCCGUUUUUAAUUUUAAUAUUGCAGAUUUUAAAAUAAUCAAUUAAUAAUAUGCAUGUAUAAUUUUACAACAAUAAAAUGCCACAAUUAUCAUCUCAACUAAACAGAGGGGGAAAAACAAUUAUGUAAUAUUUUCGGAGCUUAGAUUUGAGAGACAAGAAAAAGGAUGGAGCCUUAACAUAAUUUUCAAGUUUUUUUAAUCAGCAAAACCGAAGGACUUUACAACACUAAAAGGAAAAUAACAAUCUGAAAUUUUAUUGACAAAAACGCAUGUUUGACUAGGGAUGGCAAUUGUAUCCGUAAACCCGCCCAAACCCACCCGCCAAAACCCGCCCGCUGUGGGUAAUUUUACCUGUUGCGGGCGGGUUUAGUAUUAUAAACUAAAACCCGCAUAUGGAUGCGGGUGGGUUUGGUAUUAACUUUAUAUCUGAUGGAUACCCGCAUGGAUAUCCACCAAACCCGUAAUAUUUUUUCCAAAUAUUUUUAAUUUAAUUUUAAUCUAAAAACGUAUAAAGAAAAUAAUGUCAUUAUUCAAAUUACCAAAUAGUCAAAGGUUCAAAGUUGUGUAUGUGUGUAUGUGACCCAUCUCCCAUUCUAAAGUCAUAACUUAAAGAAAACUAAAGGCAUGUCCCUUCGAAUUAGUAUUUGAAAAUAUUAAUCUUAAUUAUUAUUAUAGGCAUUGUGUUGGAUGGGUGCUUAUAGUGGUGAAUGAAAUGAAUAUCUUCUCUUGGAGCUUGUUUUAAAUAAUAAUAUGAAAUGUAAUUAUUAUUUUUAGAUACUAAUUUGUAUUUUUUAAAUGAAUUUGUGUAAUUUAUACUUAAAUUUGAGAAUUUGUGUUGGAUUGAUGUGGAAAUUUUAAUUUUUUAUUUACAUUGUUUAAAUAUAAAAUUGAGUAUGUUAUAUGGAAUUUGAGGUUAUUAUUAUAAAUUUAUCUAUUAAACAUUUGUGAUUUUAAAUACGGAAACCCGCAAAAAAUCCGCCGGGUACCAUUGCGGGUUUGGUAAUUGUUAAAACCCGCUGCGGGUUGCGGGUGGGUUUGGUAAUUUAAAUUUUGUACGGUUUGGGUUUCGUAAUGGCAAACCCGCUGCAGGCGGUACCCAUUGCCAUCCCUAUGUUUGACAUUAACAAGUUCAAAUUUUUUAUUUUAAGAACUAUAAAUAAUACCUUUGUGACUUGGGAGUUUAUUAAGGAUCUUAACUUUUUUAUUUCAAAAUUUUAAGAUUUGAAUAAAAAGUAGACAAAAUAAAAAUGAAGAACAAAAUGCAAGGUGUUUUGGGCAAGGAAAUAAGGAAGUGGCACCAGCUAUCAGAACUAAGAAAGUUUCAUUAACAAAACACAAAUUGUCUGUUAUGAAAACAUAAUCUAGAACAUUAAGAUGACACAAAUUGUCUGUUAUGAGAACAUAGUCUAGAACAUUAAGAUGAUUUUGUAUAAAUCCGGAUGCCGACGGCCAACCCCAGGAUUGCUAGCGGCACAAGGAAUUGGAGAAGCCUGAUGAUGAACUCUGAUGUCUUGUCCUGGUUGUAGUGAGGCUGCUUUGGAGGUGUAUACUCCUUUUUCUUUGGGAUGGUCGAUACAUCAAUCUCUCCGACGUAGUACUGGUCCAUCAUUUCUCUGGCACUCGGACUAUGACCCACAUCUUCAAAGUCAUCCGUGGCAUCCUUCCCUG